Molecule: non-coding RNA, 776 nt
Organism: Xiphophorus couchianus (Monterrey platyfish)
Lineage: Eukaryota; Metazoa; Chordata; Actinopteri; Cyprinodontiformes; Poeciliidae
Source: the annotation of a RefSeq genome assembly
GUUUCUUUUGAAAAAGUCAAGUUACAAAUAAAAGUUUGAGAAUCGGAAACAACAAACCCUUGAGAAAUAGUUUGAAUAGAAGAAACAAGAUGUUCCAGUAAAAAGUUUUUAUUUGCUUAUUGACAUCAUAAAGUUCACAAAGAUGUAAAAGUACUAAACCUAUAGAAAAUUCCUUCAGUGUUAACUGGUAAAAGAUUAUAAAGAGCCCUAUUAAAGUUCCUCUCUUAGUCUCUUAAUACAUUGAUGUUUCAGGAGGAAACCUGCUGCCAGUUCAGCCCCAUGUGACUGACUGUGUGUUUGCAUAUGUGUCCUGCCUCUCUGCUCCAGCUGUUAAGAGGUCAGAGUUGAUCAGUGGCUGUCCAGGCCUUUCAGAGCCACUGACACACCAGCAGCACAAUGAUGAUGUCACUGACUCUACUGCUGACCAUCCUGGGGCUCCUGGUUCAGGGUUCAUCAGGAGACAUCAUCCUGACUCAGACUCCUGGAUCUCAGUCUGUUGCUCCAGGACAGACUGUCUCAAUCACAUGUAAAACCAGUUCAAGUGUUUAUAACAACCUCCACUGGUACCUUCAGAAACCUGCAGAAGCUCCUAAACUCCUGAUUCAAUAUGCUACAACUCUUCAGUCUGGAGUUCCAGCUCGGUUCAGUGGAAGUGGAUCUGUUUCUGAUUACACUCUGACCAUCAGUGGAGUUCAGGCUGAAGAUUCAGGAGUUUAUUACUGUCAGCAGAGUUACAGCCUCCCGUUCACACAGUGAAUGAACGUCGUACAAAAACC